AUACUUACCUGGAUGGGGUCAAUAGGUGAUCACGAAGAUCCAUGGCCUAGGUUGGUGACCUCCAUUGCACUUUGGAGGGGUGCCUGCCUAAGAUUGAUCCAAGUGAUCAAGCCUAUGUCAUCAUUUGUGGCAACAAGGCUUGUGUUCGCGUGGCCCUUAC
Solanum dulcamara is the source of this 160-nucleotide small nuclear RNA. RefSeq annotates it as U1 spliceosomal RNA. The transcript has a single exon. NCBI's taxonomy places the organism in Eukaryota, Viridiplantae, Streptophyta, Magnoliopsida, Solanales, Solanaceae. The record is from RefSeq and is a predicted model, not a curated record.